This 440-nucleotide ribosomal RNA is filed under the name uncultured bacterium. RNAcentral describes it as "partial 16S ribosomal RNA". It matches the Rfam family "Bacterial small subunit ribosomal RNA", at positions 338 to 795 of the family's 1533-position model. The record is from RNAcentral.
CCUACGGGGGGCUGCAGUAGGGAAUAUUGCUCAAUGGGGGAAACCCUGAAGCAGCAACGCCGCGUGGAGGAUGAAGGUUUUCGGAUUGUAAACCCCUUUUGUUAGAGAAGAUAAUGACGGUAUCUAACGAAUAAGCACCGGCUAACUCCGUGACAGCAGCCGCGGUAAUACGGAGGGUGCAAGCGUUAAUCGGAAUCACUGGGCGUAAAGGGCGCGUAGGCGGGAUAGCAAGUCAGAUGUGAAAUCCUAUGGCUUAACCAUAGAACUGCAUUUGAAACUGUUAUUCUAGAGUAUGGGAGAGGUAGGUGGAAUUCUUGGUGUAGGGGUAAAAUCCGUAGAGAUCAAGAGGAAUACUCAUUGCGAAGGCGACCUGCUAGAACAUAACUGACGCUGAUGCGCGAAAGCGUGGGGAGCAAACAGGAUUAGAUACCCGUGUAGUC